Cololabis saira (Pacific saury) is the source of this 1675-nucleotide long non-coding RNA. RefSeq lists it as uncharacterized. The transcript is spliced from 6 exons. Lineage: Eukaryota; Metazoa; Chordata; Actinopteri; Beloniformes; Belonidae. The record is from RefSeq and is a predicted model, not a curated record.
AGAAGGAGCCCCAUCCAUCUAUCACACGUGUAGACAAAGGGGGACUCCACAACACACAGCGCAGAGAUGUGCCCUCACAAAGUUUUUCCACGACGCACGGGGACGCGCACACAGCAAACCAUCCCCCAGGUGGGAUUUUAACACAGAUUAACCGGCAAAUCUUUUGCUCCCUGGGGAGGAAGAAAUACAAAUAUGCAAAAAUCACAAGGAGGAUGCAGAAAGUCACCUAUCAAGCCACUUUUAAGACGAAGAUGAGGAUUAAGAGACUGUGCGGCUUUCUUUGGGGGAGAAGGUAGAGACUUAUCAUAUAAGGAUUUAGGCUUCAGCAGCAGCAGUGCCAGUUGGAUUGCAUUUUAGGCACACUUGGAAAUCUAAAAGUCAUGGAGAGACUUUCGUGGAUUAUAAAAAUAUGUGCAGUAAGUCUCUAGAAGACGAGUCCCAGGCCAGACUCCCUACGAUUGAAGGAUAUUUCACUUCUGAUCCUCUUCGGCCCUCCAUAUGUGCAGGGAAAACCUGAAUACAUAUAUGUGUUCGGAUCAGGGUGGUACAUCUGGAUUGCUAAUGUGACACAAUCCUGGAAAAGGAAAAAAGAAAACUGCAGCAAACCGUUCUUGGCAACCAGUGGUUCCUCGACUGAAUACUCGGGACUGCCUCCAAAACCAUUAUCAAGUCAGCAUGAAGUCAUUGUCUGAGCCAAGCCCGGUGAUGUCAUUUCCUUCAUAAACAACUCCAGUUUCCUCUUGAGGGUCCAUAUCUGCUGAGUUUGCCAUGGUGUGUGGGUGUUGUGAGGUCUGAGAGAUCAUGACCUUAAUUCUCUCCAAGACAGACGGUUUAAUUAACACAUGAGGAUUCUUCACUGACUCCAGACUUCUGCAGCAAGAAUGUACUGAGGAGCUGGAUUGCACAGGCCCCAGCCAUUGUGGUCCACAUUGAAAGAAGACCACCUCACAGGGAUUUUCCUCUUCACCAGGUAGCCACAAAGAGGAAAAGAAGCACAUUAUCCACAUGUACAGCACCCUGCCCCUCCCACGCACACAAGCUCUCUGGGCUGCAUAAUGCUGACCACCAGCACUGCAGGAAACACAAGCACACACGCACACGCACACAGCAAAUAGCGUAUUAUCUUUAUGAGGUGUUAUACACCAGUGACCACCAACACAGGGUCUCAGUGUUCUCUAAUCCACAUUCUGGAUGAAAAGAGUGCCCCAUGCAGUGGAGGGAUUACAUUGUUGGAUUAAUAGAAGUUUUAAUUUGAGUCAUUAUAAGAGCCCUUGGUUAUAAGAACAGGUCAGGAAAGAAUAUCACUGUAUUUUAAAUGUAUUACAGAUGUACUGUACUACUUUUUUUCUUACUAAAGAUAGAUGAAAAAGAAAACUUUGUAUGUCUUUGAAGUUUACCGUUACCAGGAAAUAAUCUGUCAGUCCUCUCAAAGGCAGCUAGUUAACUGCAUUGCACGAAGGAAACAUAUUUGUAAGAUAAUGGAACAAACUAACAAAUGAAAGCCACUAUAUAUUCAUCAAAUUGUCACCAUUGUUUUUUUCUUUUCCAUUUGUCUUUUAUUGAUAAUGGGUACAAAUAAAUGAAAGCUUAUUUAAAAACCGGUCAAACAUUCUGCUAGAUACUAGUUAGAAACUUUUAUUUUGAAAGCAUUAAAUAUUUUUCAUGUCAAUCAACA